This 253-nucleotide ribosomal RNA is filed under the name uncultured bacterium. Its description in RNAcentral is "partial 16S ribosomal RNA". It matches the Rfam family "Bacterial small subunit ribosomal RNA", at positions 524 to 776 of the family's 1533-position model. The record is from RNAcentral.
UACAGAGGGUGCGAGCGUUGUUCGGAAUUAUUGGGCGUAAAGGGCGCGUGGGCGGCGCGGUAUGUCACCUGUGAAAUCUCUUGGCUCAACUGGGAGCUUGCAGGCGAAACUGCCGUGCUGGAGUGUGGGAGAGGUGCGUGGAAUUCCUGGUGUAGCGGUGAAAUGGGUAGAUAUCAGGAGGAACACCUGUGGCGAAAGCGGCGCACUGGACCACAACUGACGCUGAGGCGCGAAAGCUAGGGGAGCAAACAGG